AAAUUACAGACCUUUACCACCAGCUUCGUGAAUUGAUCCUUCAAGGACUGGACAUUGAGGACUAGAUUCACCAUACUAAAUUAAUAAACAUCACUAUAAGCUGUGUUGAAUUGCAGCCUUUCACCAAGUUACUCUUCCUACCCCAGCAACCUUGGACCACUGGAGGGAACAUCGCAGCGGCACAUGCUCUUCUGUUUGAAGAGGUCACAACCAUUCAUGAGGCAACAGAGAGUAUUGACGGCUUGAGUGGUGCUGCCAGCAUGCUGUCAAAUUGAGAUCUCGUUAUCUGCUUAUUUUCAGAGUUAUAACAUGACAAAAGCACAACUAUCAGAAUAAGAGGCAUCUAGAUGUAAUUAAAACACUUUUAAACAAUUGUAAAAUGUUUGCCUUAUUUUUAGAUUUUUUAUGUUUUUCCAUCUACAGAAAUGUUCAUUCUUUGUAUGAUUUUGCACGUGUUUGCGAUACAUUAUACUGUCAAUUCUUCAAGGCCUAACUUGAAUACAAAUGAAGCACAGCAAGCCUUUUUAGAUGUACAAGACAAUGUUUUGAACCUCAAAACUAAUGUAUUUAUGGCUUG
Molecule: long non-coding RNA, 577 nt
Organism: Xyrauchen texanus (razorback sucker)
Lineage: Eukaryota; Metazoa; Chordata; Actinopteri; Cypriniformes; Catostomidae
Exons: 3
Source: RefSeq, a predicted model, not a curated record